AGUGAGGGAUAUUGCGCAAUGGGGGAAACCCUGACGCAGCGACGCCGCGUGGGUGAUGAAGGCCUUCGGGUCGUAAAACCCUUUUGCCACUGACGAGGAAGGACGGUAGGUGGCGAAUAAGCCUCGGCUAACUACGUGCCAGCAGCCGCGGUAAAACGUAGGAGGCAAGCGUUAUCCGGAGUUACUGGGCGUAAAGCGCGCGCAGGCGGUUCGUUAAGUGGGGCGUGAAAGCCCCGCGCUAAACGCGGGGAGGACGAACCAUACUGAUGGACUGGAGUGGAGCAGAGGGACAUGGAAUUCCGGGUGUAGCGGUGAAAUGUGCAGAUAUCCGGAGGGACACCAGAGGUGAAAACGGUGUCCUGGGCUCACACUGACGCUGGGGCGCGAAAGCGUGGGGAGCGAACGGGAUUAGAGACCCCGGUAGUCCACGCCGUAAACGAUGCCAACUGGAUGCCUGUGUUCCGAAAGGGGCGUGGGUGUCGGAGCUAACGCGGUAAGUUGGCCGCCUGGGGAGUACGGUCGCAAGGCUAAAACUCAAAGGAAUUGACG
RNAcentral lists this ribosomal RNA (549 nucleotides) under uncultured bacterium. Its description in RNAcentral is "bacterial SSU rRNA". It matches the Rfam family "Bacterial small subunit ribosomal RNA", at positions 353 to 915 of the family's 1533-position model. The record is from RNAcentral.